RNAcentral lists this non-coding RNA (120 nucleotides) under bovine gut metagenome. Its description in RNAcentral is "FMN riboswitch (RFN element)". It matches the Rfam family "FMN riboswitch aptamer (RFN element)". From Rfam's summary of the family: The RFN element is a highly conserved domain that is found frequently in the 5'-untranslated regions of prokaryotic mRNAs that encode for flavin mononucleotide (FMN) biosynthesis and transport proteins. This element is a metabolite-dependent riboswitch that directly binds FMN in the absence of proteins. The record is from RNAcentral.
CAUCUUCAGGGCAGGGUGUAAUUCCCGACCGGCGGUGAUGGCGCAAGCUGAGUCCGCGAGCCGUAAGGCAUGAUCCGGUGCGAAUCCGGAACCGACAGUAGAGUCUGGAUGGAAGAAGAU